This 73-nucleotide transfer RNA is filed under the name Paramuricea clavata. It matches the Rfam family "tRNA". Rfam says of the family: Transfer RNA (tRNA) molecules are approximately 80 nucleotides in length. Their secondary structure includes four short double-helical elements and three loops (D, anti-codon, and T loops). The record is from Rfam by way of RNAcentral. Lineage: Eukaryota; Metazoa; Cnidaria; Anthozoa; Malacalcyonacea; Plexauridae.
GACCGCGUAGCUCAGUUGGCAGAGCAUUGGGCUAGCAUUCCAAAGGUCGUAGGUUCGAUUCCCACCGUGGCCA